Small nuclear RNA from Suncus etruscus (white-toothed pygmy shrew), 104 nucleotides. Lineage: Eukaryota; Metazoa; Chordata; Mammalia; Eulipotyphla; Soricidae. The record is from RefSeq and is a predicted model, not a curated record.
AUGCUCUCUUUGGCAGCAUAUAUACUAAAAUUGGAAUGAUACAGAGAUUAGCAUGGCCCCUGUGCAAGGAUGACAUGCAAAAUAGAACUUUCUCUCACUAGCUU